Long non-coding RNA from Balaenoptera acutorostrata (minke whale), 591 nucleotides. RefSeq lists it as uncharacterized. The record is from RefSeq and is a predicted model, not a curated record. The transcript has 4 exons. NCBI's taxonomy places the organism in Eukaryota, Metazoa, Chordata, Mammalia, Artiodactyla, Balaenopteridae.
CCUAAAAAAAUAUUGUUUCCUUUUGCUAUAUGACCAGAAGUGGAGUUGCUGGAUCACAUGCAGCAAGAGGAAAAUCAUGCACUACCUCCUUAGAUUCUUAUCACCGGGGUGUGUUUAACAAGCAGAGCUAAGCUGAGGCAGGGAAAGGCCCUUGGAGGAACCAUCACUGCUUCCCUCGUGAUGAGAAGACCUGGCAAAAUUAUGAACCUCAGGUAUGGUUUGAGUGGCACCGACCCUGGGCUGCUGGGAGCCUAGACACUGUCCACAACAUCACGGGCAAUGACCUGUGAGCUAGGAGUACCACCUGGAUUAGCGAGACUCUAGGGCAAAACAAAUGCUUUCAGGGACACUCCAGUGACUCACAGGCUGAGAAUAGAGACGAUCUUCAUUGUAACCAUCUGCAAAAGCUUCUUAUGAAUGUAUUUAUUAGAGGAGGGAACCGACAAACUACUCCAGGAAAGUUACAUUUUAGAAAUUCAUUUCUAAUUUCAUGCAUAGAACUUUUAAAGAAGUAAGAGUAUUUUCCACUUCUACUCAUGCCAAGAGAACAUUAAAUUGGAUGCACUACUUGGGGAAAAUCACAGCUGUUCC